AAGUAAAUAAUAUUCCAAAAGUAACAACAACCAAUAGCUUCAAAGUAGAGGAGUGUGUGUGUGUGUGUGUGUGUGUGUGUGUGUGUGUGUGUGUGUGUGUGUGUGUGUGUGUGUGUGUGU
Molecule: long non-coding RNA, 120 nt
Organism: Salarias fasciatus (jewelled blenny)
Lineage: Eukaryota; Metazoa; Chordata; Actinopteri; Blenniiformes; Blenniidae
Exons: 3
Source: RefSeq, a predicted model, not a curated record